AAAAGUUGCGUUUGCGUCACACAAGAGCAGCCAUUUCCCCCUGUUGCCAUGGGAACGUUAUGAAGUGACGUAAUCACGUGACGCCAGACAGACUCACAGAGGCGAUUGACAUCUCACAACUC
Molecule: long non-coding RNA, 122 nt
Organism: Rhinichthys klamathensis goyatoka
Lineage: Eukaryota; Metazoa; Chordata; Actinopteri; Cypriniformes; Leuciscidae
Exons: 2
Source: RefSeq, a predicted model, not a curated record